RNAcentral lists this non-coding RNA (701 nucleotides) under Hypodontus macropi. The record is from RNAcentral. Lineage: Eukaryota; Metazoa; Nematoda; Chromadorea; Rhabditida; Strongylidae.
AUAAAGAUUGCUUUUAUAGAUUUAAAAUUUGAUUAUGAUUUUUGAAUGGUUUAAAAUAGUAUUAUUUAAGUUUAAUUUAUUUUGUGGGCAAUGUUUUAUUACCCCGGUAAUGUAUUAUUUGUAAAAUACUUGUUCCAGAAUAAUCGGCUAGGCUUGUGAAAAUUUAAACUUUAUUUUGUUUUAAUUAUAAUUUUUUUGUGUAUGUAUUUUAUCAAUUAUAGGUUAAAUUUUAAUUAGUUAUUGUAAGGAGUUAUAAUUUUAAGAUUUGUUAAUCGAAUUAGAUUAGUACCUAAUUAGACAAAAUUUAAAAAAGCAGUAGUAAAGUUGUAUUUAAACUGAAAGAAUAUUGGCAGAUUUUCUAAAUUAUCUUUGGAGGUUGAGUAAUAAUUGAGAACCCUCAUUAACUACUUUGAAAUUGGUCUCAUGUAUGAUCGUUUAUUUUAUACUUAAGGUAUAUAAUAAAAAAUUUUUAUUUGUAAAAAUAGAUAUAUAUUUGGUUUAUGUAAGAGUAAAAUUUGACCUACAAUAAGUUGUGUUUGUGGAUUUAUAAAUUAGUUUUAUAAUUAAAAUGUAAAAGACAGUAAAAAAAUCUUAAUGUUUUUUUGAAGAUUAUUUAGAUGUGGUACAAAUCAUCCAUCAAUUGCCCAAAGGGGAGUAAGUUGUAGUAAAGUAGAUUUAGGGGAACCUGAAUCUAGUAAAUA